UCCCUCAUAGCUCACUCGGUAGAGAAUCUGCCUUCAAUGCAGGAGACCCGGGUUCGAUUCCUGGGUGGGGAA
This 72-nucleotide transfer RNA is filed under the name Bos taurus (domestic cattle). It matches the Rfam family "tRNA". From Rfam's summary of the family: Transfer RNA (tRNA) molecules are approximately 80 nucleotides in length. Their secondary structure includes four short double-helical elements and three loops (D, anti-codon, and T loops). Further hydrogen bonds mediate the characteristic L-shaped molecular structure. tRNAs have two regions of fundamental functional importance: the anti-codon, which is responsible for specific mRNA codon recognition, and the 3' end, to which the tRNAs corresponding amino acid is attached (by aminoacyl-tRNA synthetases). tRNAs cope with the degeneracy of the genetic code in two manners: having more than one tRNA (with a specific anti-codon) for a particular amino acid; and 'wobble' base-pairing, i.e. permitting non-standard base-pairing at the 3rd anti-codon position. RNAcentral also lists the same sequence under 3 other names. Lineage: Eukaryota; Metazoa; Chordata; Mammalia; Artiodactyla; Bovidae. The record is from Rfam by way of RNAcentral.